AGGCUAGAAAGAGAGAAGCAAGGCAUGGGAUCAGGGCCAUCUCAUGUGAGAGCUGAGGCUCAGUGUUGGACCAAACCCACAACUGCUACGAGUUGUCCCGGCUCCACAGCAGUUUCCACAGAGUGAGAGUGCCAGUCACCAACACUCUGGUUUGGGGGCUGCUAACCAAAAUGCAGGCCUUGGACUGGAUCAUUUCAAUAAAUUCAGAUGCACAGAUCACUGUACAGUUGGAAAGGUCUACGUGCCCACCUCCUGUUGUUUCUGCCACCUGUUUUGGCAGAAACAACAAAAUAGGUUUUGUGUGCGUGCCUGUGUGUAUUGCAUAAUUCACGAUCCAAACUGAAUCCAAAAUAUUUGGAUGGCAGCCCGUCCCACAUUUGCUUGGUGGAGCUGGAGAGGCAUGCCAAGAGCAGCACCAACAGCUGGCGGCCCAUGAUGCUCCGACCCCCAGGCUGGAGACACAAUCCAGAGACUGUGCAAGUAAAAAGGGUCCUGGCUUUUUAAACCAGCUCUGUAGGCAGCUGAGGUCUGCGCUGGUGAAAGCAAAGCAAGGGAUCGCUUUCAGCCCAGAUACAGACCACCUCUCCUACCAAAGCUCUGCAGGUCAUUCAUUUUAUUGAAUAUUUAUUUUAGUGGUGACCAGGAAGCAUUUCACAAGUCACUGCUGUUGUACAGUUGGAAGCUCAGCUCAACCACACCUGAGAACAGCAAGUAGAGAGAGAGUAAAUAACUAUUUUCCUCAUGCUGGAGGUGGGGAGUAAGCAUGGAGAAGGUGUAAGAUUGACUCAGCAUCACCCACCAUCAGCCCCUGGCCUGGCCCCCCCACGUCUGGGAUCCACAACAAAUACAUGUGUCCCAGGGAAGACAUAUGCAGGGUGGGUGUAAGAGCCAUUCUGUUCCUUGGCAGAAUGAAGCUAGACUGGAUAAGACAGUACAAGCUGUGCCAGUCUUCUUUGGUUUGCAUCUCUUUUAACAAGUCCUGUGACUGUCGCAGAGCCAAGGCACAUCUUACAUCUCGCAGAGGAAUUGGGACCAUACGUGGCUGUAUACCCUGGGACAAAGAGCCAAGAAACACGCCAAAACAAUAAGCGUUGACACAAUAAUUAGCAUAUUGAUUCUCCAUGCAAAUUACCUCUUCAUACAUUGUGAAAUACUUUGCAUCGUCAGAGGACUUCAGAAGAGCCUGGAGUUUCUUACAGGCACCACGAAAAUUAAAUACACGUCUUCAG
Cyanistes caeruleus (blue tit) is the source of this 1229-nucleotide long non-coding RNA. RefSeq lists it as uncharacterized. Lineage: Eukaryota; Metazoa; Chordata; Aves; Passeriformes; Paridae. The record is from RefSeq and is a predicted model, not a curated record.